GUCCCUGUAGCACAAUUGAUAGCGCUUUGGACUUCUAAUCCAAGGGUCAUGGUUUCGAAUCCCACCUGGGAUG
This 73-nucleotide transfer RNA is filed under the name Trichonephila inaurata madagascariensis. It matches the Rfam family "tRNA". From Rfam's summary of the family: Transfer RNA (tRNA) molecules are approximately 80 nucleotides in length. Their secondary structure includes four short double-helical elements and three loops (D, anti-codon, and T loops). Further hydrogen bonds mediate the characteristic L-shaped molecular structure. tRNAs have two regions of fundamental functional importance: the anti-codon, which is responsible for specific mRNA codon recognition, and the 3' end, to which the tRNAs corresponding amino acid is attached (by aminoacyl-tRNA synthetases). tRNAs cope with the degeneracy of the genetic code in two manners: having more than one tRNA (with a specific anti-codon) for a particular amino acid; and 'wobble' base-pairing, i.e. permitting non-standard base-pairing at the 3rd anti-codon position. Lineage: Eukaryota; Metazoa; Arthropoda; Arachnida; Araneae; Nephilidae. The record is from Rfam by way of RNAcentral.